This 69-nucleotide transfer RNA is filed under the name Jacobsonina aliena. RNAcentral's name for it is "tRNA-Ile". Lineage: Eukaryota; Metazoa; Arthropoda; Insecta; Blattodea; Blattellidae. The record is from RNAcentral.
AAUGAAGUGCCUGAAAUAAAAGGAUUAUCGUGAUAGGAUAAAUUAUGUAAUCAUAAAUUACCUUCAUUA